CUAUUGGGAAGCUAAGCAUAAGAAUCAAUAUGAAACAAUGCCAAUAAAUGAAUAAAUUAUUUUUCAGAUUGAAGUUAUAAAGGGCUCUGGGGUGUUUUGUCAGGCAGAAGUGUGGAAAGCAGCCCUCCUUGCCACCUCUGCUACUGCCAUGGUGUGGAAUCUGCUGCUGGGCACAUUUGAUCUGGAGACUUUGCUGAAAAACAACCUGAAUGGUGGGAAGCCAACCAGAGGGGAUGGGGAGCAGCUGGUCGCCCUUGACCAAAUUAAAAAGGCAUCAUUAUUGAUGCUACAUUGAAGAAGUGUCCGUCAGCCAGCCGAGGGGAGAUGGGCACGUCUAUCAAUUCAAAGCUCAUGGAGCUGAGAAGAUCAAAAAGAUUUUUUUUCUAUCCAGUUUUUUUGUCUUAUUUUUGUUUUUGUACUAUUUGAUCUUAAGUAAAUAAAUAAU
Molecule: non-coding RNA, 445 nt
Organism: Pimephales promelas (fathead minnow)
Lineage: Eukaryota; Metazoa; Chordata; Actinopteri; Cypriniformes; Leuciscidae
Source: RefSeq, a predicted model, not a curated record